Molecule: ribosomal RNA, 497 nt
Filed under: uncultured bacterium
Lineage: Bacteria
Description: partial 16S ribosomal RNA
Rfam family: Bacterial small subunit ribosomal RNA
Source: RNAcentral
GAUGAACGCUGGCGGCGUGCCUAAUACAUGCAAGUCGAGCGAACAGACGAGGAGCUUGCUCCUCUGACGUUAGCGGCGGACGGGUGAGUAACACGUGGAUAACCUACCUAUAAGACUGGGAUAACUUCGGGAAACCGGAGCUACUACCGGAUAAUAUAUUGAACCGCAUGGUUCAAUAGUGAAAGACGGUUUUGCUGUCACUUAUAGAUGGCUCCGCGCCGCAUUAGCUAGUUGGUAAGGUAACGGCUUACCAAGGCUACGAUGGGUAGCCGACCUGAGAGGGGACGAGGCAACCCUGGAAUGGGAGCACGAUCAGGCCCCCUAGGGGAGGGAGAAGGAGGGAAUCUUCAGCAAUGGGCGAAGGCGGGAAGGUGGAACGCCGCGUGAGAGAUGAAGGUAUUAGGGUCGUAAAACUGUGUAAUGAGGGAGGAAUAAAUGUGUAAUUAACCAGGCGGGUCUUGACGGUACCGAAACAAAAAGCCACGGCUAACUACGUG